GACGAACGCUGGCGGCGUGCCUAAUACAUGCAAGUCGAACGCUUCUUUCCUCCCGAGUGCUUGCACUCAAUUGGAAAGAGGAGUGGCGGACGGGUGAGUAACACGUGGGUAACCUACCCAUCAGAGGGGGAUAACACUUGGAAACAGGUGCUAAUACCGCAUAACAGUUUAUGCCGCAUGGCAUAAGAGUGAAAGGCGCUUUCGGGUGUCGCUGAUGGAUGGACCCGCGGUGCAUUAUCUAGUUGGUGAGGUAACGGCUCACCAAGGCCACGAUGCAUAGCCGACCUGAGAGGGUGAUCGGCCACACUGGGACUGAGACACGGCCCAGACUCCUACGGGAGGCAGCAGUAGGGAAUCUUCGGCAAUGGACGAAAGUCUGACCGAGCAACGCCGCGUGAGUGAAGAAGGUUUUCGGAUCGUAAAACUCUGUUGUUAGAGAAGAACAAGGACGUUAGUAACUGAACGUCCCCUGACGGUAUCUAACCAGAAAGCCACGGCUAACUACGUGCCAGCAGCCGCGGUAAUACGUAGGUGGCAAGCGUUGUCCGGAUUUAUUGGGCGUAAAGCGAGCGCAGGCGGUUUCUUAAGUCUGAUGUGAAAGCCCCCGGCUCAACCGGGGAGGGUCAUUGGAAACUGGGAGACUUGAGUGCAGAAGAGGAGAGUGGAAUUCCAUGUGUAGCGGUGAAAUGCGUAGAUAUAUGGAGGAACACCAGUGGCGAAGGCGGCUCUCUGGUCUGUAACUGACGCUGAGGCUCGAAAGCGUGGGGAGCAAACAGG
RNAcentral lists this ribosomal RNA (777 nucleotides) under uncultured Lactobacillales bacterium. RNAcentral's name for it is "bacterial SSU rRNA". It matches the Rfam family "Bacterial small subunit ribosomal RNA", at positions 28 to 776 of the family's 1533-position model. Lineage: Bacteria; Bacillati; Bacillota; Bacilli; Lactobacillales. The record is from RNAcentral.